AUGGGAAUCACUCAGGCAUGACUUGUUAAAAAUGCAGAUUCUGAUUCAGUAGGUUUGGGGUGGGGCUUAGAUUUCUGUUUGUCUAACCAGUUCCCAUCUGAUGCUGAU
Molecule: microRNA precursor, 108 nt
Filed under: Marmota monax (woodchuck)
Lineage: Eukaryota; Metazoa; Chordata; Mammalia; Rodentia; Sciuridae
Source: RNAcentral